This 253-nucleotide ribosomal RNA is filed under the name uncultured bacterium. RNAcentral's name for it is "partial 16S ribosomal RNA". It matches the Rfam family "Bacterial small subunit ribosomal RNA", at positions 524 to 776 of the family's 1533-position model. The record is from RNAcentral.
UACGAGGGGGGCGAGCGUUGUUCGGAAUUAUUGGGCGUAAAGGGUGCGUAGGCGGUUCCGCAAGUCCUGUGUGAAAUCUUCGGGCUCAACUCGAAGUCUGCACGGGAAACUGCGGGGCUUGAGUGUGGGAGAGGUGAGUGGAAUUCCCGGUGUAGCGGUGAAAUGCGUAGAUAUCGGAAGGAACACCUGUGGCGAAAGCGGCUCACUGGACCACAACUGACGCUGAGGCACGAAAGCUAGGGGAGCAAACAGG